Molecule: long non-coding RNA, 1339 nt
Organism: Gadus chalcogrammus (walleye pollock)
Lineage: Eukaryota; Metazoa; Chordata; Actinopteri; Gadiformes; Gadidae
Exons: 3
Source: RefSeq, a predicted model, not a curated record
GUGGCGCUGGAGUAUGGCAUCAAGUUCAUGGAGACCAGUGCAAAGGCCAACAUAAACGUGGAAAAUGCAUUUUUGACGCUUGCGAGAGACAUCAAGUCAAAGAUGGACACAAAAUUGGAGGGCAACACGGCUCAGGGAGGCGGCCACGGCGUCAAGAUCUCCGAGCCCCAAAAAAAGACCAGCUUCUUCCGCUGCUCUCUGCUCUGAGGGGGCAAAGGUCUCCGUAUUUUUUUUUUUUUUUAAGGAUACUGGACUCAACCGGACUGUGCUUCCUUUUCAGCACUUCCUGCCUCCCUCUCUCCCCCCCUCCCUUUCAGUUUCCCUUCCUCCUAAGUCGACACACAUGAAAUCUGUAUCAUUCAGCUGCAGGCGGAUCGACAUGUUUCCCUCUCUCUUUUGUCCUUGUCUGCUGAAGGCGUCCGUCGUUGGAUCCUUUAUCUUUUCCUUUUUGUUCAUACACACUUCCUCACUUGCUGUCCCCCCCCCUUCUCCCCUCUGUAGGACAGAGAGUGACUGAAUCCUGAGGAGCAGGAUUAUAAAAAAAUUAAUAGUCCAAUAUAUUGUAUUGCAAAGACACUCUUCCGUCCCUUCGGUAGUACUACGUUCAUCGUUUGGUUCCCAACUAGUUUCACAGCAGCUCUUCAAAUGUUGUUCAGUGGAGUUGAAUCAAUCCCAACGGUUUUGGGAUUGGUAUUUACAAGCGUGAUGAAACUUGUUUUUAAUGGUCGUCCCUUGCCUCUUGUGGGGUCAACCAGAGACUGAUCGGCUUGUUCAAGUAGUGAAUCGCUUUCAAAAGUAAUGCAGUCUUGCAACAAUGGCCGCGGGUUUUAAGACUUAUUGUUCGCUUCCUCAGCACUUUUUUCAUGCUUUUGGUUUGCAGUAAUUUCCUUGUAACCGUUGAAUGGGACCAAACAUGGGGGAAUGCAAUAAAAAUAUGGUUAAUGCGUGUAAAAAAUAAUUGACAGGUCACAUGACACCUAGCCUUAUUCCAGUAUUUCACUAGUUUUGUUCACUGAAAACAACAUUCCAAGCAUUAGAAAAUCCUCUCCCUUCCUUAAUGUACCACGUAGGUCAGACAGAAGUAUCUACAGGUAAGCGUGUCAGUAUUGCCACCAACCUCUUGCGUGCUUGAAUAUCAUUGCGUGCUACAUUAUUGUGGUGUGCAGUAUAAAUGAUGGCAUGCCCUAAAACCUUUAGUGUUGUAAUUAUCUAUUGUGCGAUUAAUUGUUUUGGCAAGCUAUAUGAAGUCUCUGGUUGCAACACCGGCGAAUAAAACCACGGGUUUAUACAGACCUCUCUGCUUACAAAUUUCCCCGCCACACUGUAUUGUGAAUGAGCC